GUGCCAGCCGCCGCGGUAAUACGGAGGGUGCAAACGUUGCUCGGAAUCAUUGGGCGUAAAGCGCACGUAGGCGGUCCGCUAAGUCGGGUGUGAAAGCCCUCGGCUCAACCGAGGAAGUGCAUUCGAAACUGACGGACUUGAGUAUGGAAGAGGGUCGUGGAAUUCCCGGUGUAGAGGUGAAAUUCGUAGAUAUCGGGAGGAACACCAGUGGCGAAGGCGGCGACCUGGGCCAAUACUGACGCUGAGGUGCGAAAGCGUGGGGAGCAAACAGGAUUAGAUACCCUAGUAGUCC
Molecule: ribosomal RNA, 292 nt
Filed under: uncultured bacterium
Lineage: Bacteria
Description: partial 16S ribosomal RNA
Rfam family: Bacterial small subunit ribosomal RNA
Source: RNAcentral